UACUAUAAAUCUAAAGAAGAAUUUGUUUUGAAAACAAAAUAUAUAUGUUCAAU
RNAcentral lists this transfer RNA (53 nucleotides) under Epiperipatus biolleyi. Its description in RNAcentral is "tRNA-Ser". The record is from RNAcentral. Lineage: Eukaryota; Metazoa; Onychophora; Udeonychophora; Euonychophora; Peripatidae.